This 447-nucleotide ribosomal RNA is filed under the name uncultured bacterium. Its description in RNAcentral is "partial 16S ribosomal RNA". It matches the Rfam family "Bacterial small subunit ribosomal RNA", at positions 29 to 523 of the family's 1533-position model. The record is from RNAcentral.
AACGAACGCUGGCGGCAGGCUUAACGCAUGCAAGUCGAGCGCCCCGCAAGGGGAGCGGCAGACGGGUGAGUAACGCGUGGGAAUCUACCGUGCCCUACGGAAUAACGCAUGGAAACGUGUGCUAAUACCGUAUACGCCCUACGGGGGAAAGAUUUAUCGGGGUAUGAUGAGCCCGCGUUGGAUUAGCUAGUUGGUGGGGUAAAGGCCUACCAAGGCGACGAUCCAUAGCUGGUCUGAGAGGAUGAUCAGCCACAUUGGGACUGAGACACGGCCCAAACUCCUACGGGAGGCAGCAGUGGGGAAUAUUGGACAAUGGGCGCAAGCCUGAUCCAGCCAUGCCGCGUGAGUGAUGAAGGUCUUAGGAUUGUAAAGCUCUUUCACCGGUGAAGAUAAUGACGGUAACCGGAGAAGAAGCCCCAGCUAACUUCGUGCCAGCAGCCGCCGCGG